GACGGUGCGCUAACCGUAAGGAGCCGCCUAGGGUAAAACUGGUGACUGGGGCU
This 53-nucleotide ribosomal RNA is filed under the name uncultured bacterium. RNAcentral describes it as "partial 16S ribosomal RNA". The record is from RNAcentral.